Molecule: ribosomal RNA, 515 nt
Filed under: uncultured bacterium
Lineage: Bacteria
Description: partial 16S ribosomal RNA
Rfam family: Bacterial small subunit ribosomal RNA
Source: RNAcentral
AACGAACGCUGGCGGCGUGCUUAACACAUGCAAGUCGAACGCGAAAGGGACUUCGGUCCUGAGUUAAGUGGCGCACGGGUGAGUAACGCGUAGAUAACCUGUCUUCGUGUCUGGAAUAAUACGCCGAAAGGUGUACUAAUACCGGAUAUUCUUGCUUUAUAUAAGUUUUGCAAGCAAAGGUGGCCUCUGCAUAUGCUACCGCAUGAAGAGGGGUCUGCGUACCAUUAGCUAGUAGGUAGGGUAAUGGCCUACCUAGGCGACGAUGGUUAGCGGGUCUGAGAGGAUGAUCCGCCACACUGGCACUGGAACACGGGCCAGACUCCUACGGGAGGCAGCAGUGAGGAAUAUUGCGCAAUGGGGGCAACCCUGACGCAGCGACGCCGCGUGAGUGAGGAAGGCCUUCGGGUCGUAAAGCUCUGUCAAGAGGAAAGAAGUGCAUGGUGGUUAAUACCCGCCAUGUUUGACGGUACCUCUAAAGGAAGCACCGGCUAACUCCGUGCCAGCCGCCGCGGUAA